AACCAGACUCCUACGGGAGGCAGCAGUGGGGAAUAUUGGGCAAUGGGCGCAAGCCUGACCCAGCAACGCCGCGUGAAGGAAGAAGGCCUUCGGGUUGUAAACUUCUUUUCUAUAGGACGAAGAAGUGACGGUACUAUAGGAAUAAGCCACGGCUAACUACGUGCCAGCAGCCGCGGUAAUACGUAGGUGGCGAGCGUUAUCCGGAUUUACUGGGUGUAAAGGGCGUGUAGGCGGGAGUGCAAGUCAGAUGUGAAAACUAUGGGCUCAACCCAUAGCCUGCAUUUGAAACUGUACUUCUUGAGUGCUGGAGAGGCAAUCGGAAUUCCGUGUGUAGCGGUGAAAUGCGUAGAUAUACGGAGGAACACCAGUGGCGAAGGCGGAUUGCUGGACAGUAACUGACGCUGAGGCGCGAAAGCGUGGGGAGCAAACAGGAUUAGAUACCCCGGUAUC
This 450-nucleotide ribosomal RNA is filed under the name uncultured bacterium. RNAcentral's name for it is "bacterial SSU rRNA". It matches the Rfam family "Bacterial small subunit ribosomal RNA", at positions 329 to 794 of the family's 1533-position model. The record is from RNAcentral.